GUAGGAAGAGGAAGUUUGCUGGAAUGAGGAGCCCUCAGGUCCAAAGUAACUUGAAACAUCCCUUAUUUUUACAUGAUUCAACGGAUUCCUUGGGCAUGCAGAUUAUCUACUAAACGGACGGAAGGAGUGCGCCUUCUGGAUUCAGUGACAUCCCUGCCUUGGCUGAUGAGAGGACAGCUAAGGGAGACACCUGACACUGGCCUGGAGUAAGGAGAGGAAGGGAAGUGCUCUAUGUGAAUUUAUAAAUUUUGGUAAAGGUUUUGGCAUGGGUGGUUUGCUGGUGUUAUGUAUUGGGGUUCCAAUUAAAAGUGUGGUUUUUCAUGUGUCGUUUGUCUAGAAGUUGGUGAAAUGGUUUUGAUUCUUUUUAAUCUUCUUUUGAAGUUACUGAGAAAACAUGCUUUCCAUCACUUAUCUGUUAGUCUAGUAUGACACUUCUGUUGCAUCUGCACUUUCUGAUGUCAGUUUUGUCCCCAGACAUGGCUGUACUGAGGUCUGCCUUACAACAGCUUACCUGCCAGCUUACCUCCAGACUG
Long non-coding RNA from Passer domesticus (house sparrow), 533 nucleotides. RefSeq lists it as uncharacterized. NCBI's taxonomy places the organism in Eukaryota, Metazoa, Chordata, Aves, Passeriformes, Passeridae. The transcript is spliced from 3 exons. The record is from RefSeq and is a predicted model, not a curated record.